UUAACUUAUUAAAUGAUACUCAGACUACAAAUAUUCAGAGUUUAAGGGUCCUCUGACAAGCACUGACCAGCCGGAGCCGGCGGUCCGAAGACGGGCCUGCCAAAGCAACAAAGUAUUAUAAACACAGGGUGGGAGAUCUACCCCGAAGGGCAAGUUCUCUGUAAUGAUCCUUCCGCAGGUUCACCUACGGAAA
This 193-nucleotide unclassified non-coding RNA is filed under the name uncultured fungus. Its description in RNAcentral is "sequence contains ITS1". Lineage: Eukaryota; Fungi. The record is from RNAcentral.